UGAACGCUAGCGACAGGCCUAACACAUGCAAGUCGAGGGGCAGCACAAGGAGCAAUCUGAGGUGGCGACCGGCGCACGGGUGAGUAACACGUAUGCAACCUGCCUGUAAGCGGGAAUAACCCGUGAAAGACGGACUAAUACCGCAUAAUACUAAAUUACUGCAUGGUAAUUUAUUUAAACAUUUAUGGCUUACAGAUGGGCAUGCGCAUGAUUAGCUAGUUGGAGAGGUAACGGCUCCCCAAGGCAACGAUCAUUAGGGGUUCUGAGAGGAAGGUCCCCCACACUGGUACUGAGACACGGACCAGACUCCUACGGGAGGCAGCAGUGAGGAAUAUUGGUCAAUGGACGAGAGUCUGAACCAGCCAAGUCGCGUGCAGGAAGAAUGUCCUUAAUGGAUUGUAAACUGCUUUUGCAGGGGAAUAAAGUGCAUCACGUGUGAUGUUUUGUAUGUACUCUGCGAAUAAGGAUCGGCUAACUCCGUGCCAGCCGCAGC
Molecule: ribosomal RNA, 493 nt
Filed under: uncultured bacterium
Lineage: Bacteria
Description: bacterial SSU rRNA
Rfam family: Bacterial small subunit ribosomal RNA
Source: RNAcentral